GACGAACGCUGGCGGCGUGCUUAACACAUGCCAGUCGAACGGCAAGGCCCUGCUGUUGUGGGGUGCUCGAGUGGCGAACGGGUGAGUAACACGUGAGUAACCUGCCCUUGACUUUGGGAUAACUUCAGGAAACUGGGGCUAAUACCGGAUAGGAGCUCCUGCUGCAUGGUGGGGGUUGGAAAGUGUCGGCGGGCGGGGAUGGACUCGCGGCUUAUCAGCGUGUUGGUGGGGUAGUGGCUUACCAAGGCUUUGACGGGUAGCCGGCCUGAGAGGGUGACCGGGCACAUGGGGACUGAGGUAGGGCCCAGACUGCUACGUGAGGCAGCAGUGGGGAAUAUUGCACAACGGGCGGAAGCCUGAUGCAGCAACGCCGGGUGCGGGAUGACCGCCUUCGGGUUAUAAACCGCUUUCGCCUGUGACGAAGCGUGAGUGACGGUAAUGGGUAAAGAAGCACCGGCUAACUACGUG
This 468-nucleotide ribosomal RNA is filed under the name uncultured bacterium. RNAcentral's name for it is "partial 16S ribosomal RNA". It matches the Rfam family "Bacterial small subunit ribosomal RNA", at positions 28 to 507 of the family's 1533-position model. The record is from RNAcentral.